ACUUAAAGCCUACUUAUUACAAUCAUCCUUUGUUCAACACCCAACUUUAAGGUUCAGUGCAUGACAGGAAACAAUACGUCGUUGAAUGUUUCUGAAGAACAAGAGCAACGCAUCCUGUUAAAGCCAUCAGUAAGGUCUAUUUAUGCUUGCAAGUUUUGGUGUUGCCUUGUGACAACGACAUGGCCAGCCACAGCCCCCAUCUCAUACCUCGACCACAAGCGUGUAUGUGUGCAUAUGUGUGUGGGUGCUUUUUUCCCAGAACAGUGUAAAGGAACGGUCACCUCUGGACAUGAGCUGAGACUUUGUUACAUCAAGGAGGGUCCUGCCUGAGGAGAAAGGUCGCACACUGAAUCUCUCCAAGGUCCAGCCAAUCAUAAUUGAUGCAUCGCAUGUACAGGUUGGUCCAAAUCUGUCACUCGAGUCCAGAGCUCAAUCAGCAGUAAAAACAUGAUGAUCUUGGCCAUUUAUUUUGCAAUGACAAUUUUGAUUGCAUCAUUGCCGGUUGAGACCGAAGACAUUCCUCUUUCGGUUUCUGAAAUAAAAGCAGAACAUGGCGAUAAGGUUACUUUAAAUUUUAGAGUAAUGAAAAAAGACGAUAAGUUUGACUGGUACAAACAAUCUCAUGGAUAUGUUCCCCAAACCGUCGCUCGAAGAGUGUUGGGAAUUUUCUUUUUUUUUCCUCCCUUUAAUUUAACGUUCACAAUGGAAGAAGGGGUUUCUGAUUUCAAUCUGAUCAUUCAAAGUGUAACUAAAGGCGAUGAAGCAAACUAUUUCUGUCGACAACAAUUUUCUGACAGUUGGACUAAUGGCAUAUUUCUGUCUGUCAAAGAUAAAAAUGUCAUGAAGGUAGAUGAAAAGCAAGAUGAAACAGAUCAAAACGUAACGAAGGUUAAUGACAAGCAAGAUGUAACAGAUCAAAACGUAACGAAGGUUAAUGACAAGCAAGAUGUAACAGAACCCUACAGGCAUCUGGUGAUCUCGGUGCAUCGGAUAAUGUUGGCUUGCUGUCUGCUUGUGAUUAUAAUCCUCAUUCUAAUCAUUCAUUACAGGACGGGGAAAACUGAUUCCUUGAACUACGCAGCGUUGGAUCUCUCCGGCAGAGGAAAUCGAAGGAGGGAAGAAGAAAAGUGAAAGGACUCAAGAGAGUGAGGAUUCUGCUGUGAGAGAAACCUGCCACUGAAGUCCAUCAACCACGUCCUAAUAUAGUUUGAUCUGGUGGAUGUGCAUUACUUUUCUAAAAGGGUUAAAAAGUACAAGCUUAAAUUAAGAUAUGAAAGACAAUAAAUAAUAUGAUUCUGACAAAGCUCAAAUAGAACAACAAUUUAACAGCGCUGGAAAGGGGUUUGGUUCAAAAUAUAUAUAUUUUUAAUGGUGACGAGCAAGCAUAUCAUUUUGGGUUGCCUAGUGUAGAUACAUUCAGCCAUUGCAAAGAGACCUAAUGCGCCUGCAUUGUGUUCAUUUUUCAACUUACUCUUCAUCAGAUCAAAUUACUUUUCAAGACUUAUCAAUAUGUUUGCAUUCGUUUUUUGUAAGUUUUUUUUGAUGGACACUUAAGUGUGUAAUAAUUGUUAUUGUUAAUAAUUGCUGUAUUACAUACAAACGCUUGAAAGUAUUCAGACUUGACACGUCAUUUUAUGUUGUUAUGUCAUCUAUCAACCUUACAUGUUUAUGCAACUAGGUGAUGUUUGGUUCAAAAUGUAUAAAUAUCUCUAAGCCUACUUUAACCAUUGAUAUUAAGCAAAACUUAUUGUUGCUAGAAUGUGUAAACUGAUAUUAGUUGGAAUGGUCAAAGAAAUUGUGAUCUUGACGUUCGACACAGCAAUGCUAGACGAUCUGAUUUGUGGGAAAUAAAAAAAAUAAAUAAAAAUAAGUGCAACAAAUAAAAAAAAGCUGUUUCUAAUUAGCAAUGAACACUGCCUGGAUCA
This is a long non-coding RNA of Gadus chalcogrammus (walleye pollock), 1925 nucleotides long. RefSeq lists it as uncharacterized. The transcript is spliced from 9 exons. The record is from RefSeq and is a predicted model, not a curated record. Lineage: Eukaryota; Metazoa; Chordata; Actinopteri; Gadiformes; Gadidae.